AAAAGGUCCUCUUUCCGCCAUCUUUCCGUGCCGCCACAAUGGUGCGCCUGAAUGUCCUGGCUGAUGCUCUCAAGAGCAUCAACAAUACUGAAAAGAGAGGGAAACGUGAGGUGCUUAUUAGGCCUGCUCCAAAGUCAUCGUCCGGUACCUCACAGGCAGGCUAAACAAGUGUGGUGUGAUCAGCCCCAGAUUUGAUGUGCAUCAAAGAUCUAGAAAAUGGCAGAAUAAUCUGCUUCUGUCCCACCAGUUUGGUUUCAUUGUAUUGACAACCUCAGCUGGCAUCAUGGACCAUGAAGAAGCAAGACGAAAACACACAGGAGGGAAAAUCCUGGGAUUCUUUUUCUAGGGAUGUAAUACAUAUAUUUACAAAUAAAAUGCCUCAUGGACAAAAAAAAAUAAAA
This is a non-coding RNA of Callithrix jacchus (white-tufted-ear marmoset), 401 nucleotides long. The record is from RefSeq and is a predicted model, not a curated record. Lineage: Eukaryota; Metazoa; Chordata; Mammalia; Primates; Cebidae.